AUAAGGGGUGCCACCAUCAGGUGGCCGCAGAGAAUAGGCCCAAGCGACUGUUUACCAAAAACAUAGGUUUCUGCUAAGUCGCAAGACGAUGUAUAGGAGCUGACGCCUGCCCGGUGCUGGAAGGUUAAGGGGAUCUGUUAGAGUAAUCGAAGCAGUGAACUUAAGCCCCAGUAAACGGCGGCCGUAACUAUAACGGUCCUAAGGUAGCGAAAUUCCUUGUCGGGUAAGUUCCGACCCGCACGAAAGGCGUAACGAUUUGGGCACUGUCUCAACAACAGACUCGGUGAAAUUGUAAUUCCGGUGAAGAUGCCGGAUACCUGCGACAGGACGGAAAGACCCCAUGGAGCUUUACUGUAGCUUGACAUUGGGUCUUGGUACUACAUGUACAGGAUAGGUGGGAGGCUUUGAAACCAGGACGCCAGUUUUGGCGGAGCCAUCCUUGGGAUACCACCCUUGUAGUACUGGGACUCUAACCAUAGGCCAUGAAUCUGGUCUUGGGACACUGUCAGGUGGGCAGUUUGACUGGGGCGGUCGCCUCCCAAAAGGUAACGGAGGCGCUCAAAGGUUCUCUCAGUACGGUCGGAAAUCGUACGUAGAGUGUAAAGGCAAAAGAGAGCUUGAUUGCAAGACAUACAGGUCGAGCAAGGAUGAAAAUCGGACUUAGUGAUCCGGUGGUUCUGCGUGGAAGGGCCAUCGCUCAACGGAUAAAAGCUACCCUGGGGAUAACAGGCUUAUCUCCCCCAAGAGUCCACAUCGACGGGGAGGUUUGGCACCUCGAUGUCGGCUCAUCACAUCCUGGGGCUGUAGUAGGUCCCAAGGGUUGGGCUGUUCGCCCAUUAAAGUGGUACGCGAGCUGGGUUCAGAACGUCGUGAGACAGUUCGGUCCCUAUCCGUCGCAGGCGUAGGAAAUUUGAGAAGACCUGUCCUUAGUACGAGAGGACCGGGAUGGACG
Molecule: ribosomal RNA, 952 nt
Filed under: Clostridioides difficile
Lineage: Bacteria; Bacillati; Bacillota; Clostridia; Peptostreptococcales; Peptostreptococcaceae
Description: partial 23S ribosomal RNA
Rfam family: Bacterial large subunit ribosomal RNA
Source: RNAcentral